GCUUUACACAUAGCAAGUCGAACGGUAACAGAGUCUUCGGAUGCUGACGAGUAGGCGAACGGGUGAGUAAUACAUCGGAACGUGCCUUGUAGUGGGGGAUAACUACUCGAAAGAGUAGCUAAUACCGCAUAGAGAUCUACGGAUGAAAGCAGGGGGACCUAUACGAGGCCUUGUAGCUACUAGAGCGGCUAGAUAGGCAGAUNAGGUAGUUAGGUGGGGUAAAGGCUAUACCAAGCCU
Molecule: ribosomal RNA, 238 nt
Filed under: uncultured bacterium
Lineage: Bacteria
Description: partial 16S ribosomal RNA
Rfam family: Bacterial small subunit ribosomal RNA
Source: RNAcentral